RNAcentral lists this ribosomal RNA (333 nucleotides) under uncultured Bacillota bacterium. Its description in RNAcentral is "bacterial SSU rRNA". It matches the Rfam family "Bacterial small subunit ribosomal RNA", at positions 28 to 351 of the family's 1533-position model. Lineage: Bacteria; Bacillati; Bacillota. The record is from RNAcentral.
GACGAACGCUGGCGGCGUGCCUAAUACAUGCAAGUCGAGCGAAUGAAUGGGAGCUUGCUCCCAUUCGUUAGCGGCGGACGGGUGAGUAACACGUGGGCAACCUGCCUGUAAGACUGGGAUAACUUCGGGAAACCGGAGCUAAUACCGGAUAAUUUCUUUCUUCACAUGGAGAAGGGUUGAAAGAUGGCUUCGGCUAUCACUUACAGAUGGGCCCGCGGCGCAUUAGCUAGUUGGUGAGGUAACGGCUCACCAAGGCGACGAUGCGUAGCCGACCUGAGAGGGUGAUCGGCCACACUGGGACUGAGACACGGCCCAGACUCCUACGGGAGGCAG